This 119-nucleotide ribosomal RNA is filed under the name Anolis carolinensis (green anole). Lineage: Eukaryota; Metazoa; Chordata; Lepidosauria; Squamata; Anolidae. The record is from RNAcentral.
GCCGCCAGCCUAAAUACUCAGUAGGUACCAGAUCCCAUCUGAUCUUAGAAGCUAGGUAGUGUUUGCCCUAGUUAGUACUUGAGUGGGAGACCACCAAUGAAUACAAGGCACUGUAGGCU